GCAAGUCGAACGGUAACAUAUAAUGAUUGCAAUCUGAUGACGAGUGGCGCACGGGUGCGUAACGCGUAUGCAAUCUACCUUUUACAGGAGAAUAGCCCAGAGAAAUUUGGAAUAAUGCUCCAUAAUAUCAUGUAUCGGCAUUGAUUUAUGAUUAAAGCUCCGGCGGUAAAAGAUGAGCAUGCGUUCUAUUAGCUAGUAGGUGAGGUAACGGCUCACCUAGGCGACGAUGGAUAGGUGCCCUGAGAGGGGGAUC
Molecule: ribosomal RNA, 253 nt
Filed under: uncultured bacterium
Lineage: Bacteria
Description: partial 16S ribosomal RNA
Rfam family: Bacterial small subunit ribosomal RNA
Source: RNAcentral